This is a small nuclear RNA of Pelodiscus sinensis (Chinese soft-shelled turtle), 143 nucleotides long. Its record names the gene U1. It matches the Rfam family "U1 spliceosomal RNA". Rfam says of the family: U1 is a small nuclear RNA (snRNA) component of the spliceosome (involved in pre-mRNA splicing). Lineage: Eukaryota; Metazoa; Chordata; Testudines; Trionychidae. The record is from Ensembl.
GUAGACAGCUGGCAAGUUUUUCCGGAAAAGUGGCUGAUUUUCCUUGCACUAUGGUUGUGCUGACUCCUGUAAUUUCCCCAAAUGGCGGAAACUUGACUGUACAAUUUGGGGCAGUGGGGGGACUACAUUCAUGCUUUUCUCUG